AGUAACGCUGGUACUUACCAACAACCGCCUCCCCCACCACCUCAGCAGUAUCCAGGAGCAGGUGUAUAUUUAUAUGCUCCCGCUCCUCCACCACCAAAUCAAGGAAAUGGACAGCCUGGUUCUCAGCCAUAUGCAGGAUAUCGACAGCCUGUAAGUAUUAGGCCACUUCCAGACUGAUGCUAUUUUUGGAUGGGGU
This is a long non-coding RNA of Lacerta agilis (Sand lizard), 196 nucleotides long. RefSeq lists it as uncharacterized. The record is from RefSeq and is a predicted model, not a curated record. Lineage: Eukaryota; Metazoa; Chordata; Lepidosauria; Squamata; Lacertidae. The transcript is spliced from 4 exons.